GACGAACGCUGGCGGCGUGCUUAACACAUGCAAGUCGAACGGUGAAGGGACCGGUUUUUGCUGGUUCUGGAUGAGUGGCGAACGGGUGAGUAACACGUGAGUAACCUGCCCCCUUCUUCUGGAUAACCGCAUGAAAGUGUGGCUAAUACGGGAUAUUCUGCGCCUGCUGCAUGGUGGGUGUGGGAAAGAUAUUGUUUCGGUGGGGGAUGGGCUCGCGGCCUAUCAGCUUGUUGGUGGGGUGAUGGCCUACCAAGGCGGUGACGGGUAGCCGGCCUGAGAGGGUGGACGGUCACACUGGGACUGAGACACGGCCCAGACUCCUACGGGAGGCAGCAGUGGGGAAUAUUGCACAAUGGGCGCAAGCCUGAUGCAGCGACGCCGCGUGAGGGAUGGAGGCCUUCGGGUUGUAAACCUCUUUCGCCAGUGAAGCAGGCCUGCCCCUUUUGUGGGUGGGUUGACGGUAGCUGGAUAAGAAGCGCCGGCUAACUACGUG
This 493-nucleotide ribosomal RNA is filed under the name uncultured bacterium. RNAcentral describes it as "partial 16S ribosomal RNA". It matches the Rfam family "Bacterial small subunit ribosomal RNA", at positions 28 to 507 of the family's 1533-position model. The record is from RNAcentral.